RNAcentral lists this ribosomal RNA (253 nucleotides) under uncultured bacterium. RNAcentral's name for it is "partial 16S ribosomal RNA". It matches the Rfam family "Bacterial small subunit ribosomal RNA", at positions 524 to 776 of the family's 1533-position model. The record is from RNAcentral.
GACAGAGGGGGCAAGCGUUGCUCGGAAUUACUGGGCGUAAAGGGCGCGUAGGCGGGAUGGCAAGUCGGUCGUGAAAUCCUUCGGCUCAACCGAAGAACGUCGAUCGAUACUGCUGUUCUUGAGGGUUGCAGAGGAGACUGGAAUUCCCGGUGUAGCGGUGAAAUGUGUAGAGAUCGGGAGGAACACCGGUGGCGAAGGCGGGUCUCUGGGCAAUUCCUGACGCUGAGGCGCGAAAGCAUGGGGAGCGAACAGG